Molecule: ribosomal RNA, 464 nt
Filed under: Vreelandella stevensii
Lineage: Bacteria; Pseudomonadati; Pseudomonadota; Gammaproteobacteria; Oceanospirillales; Halomonadaceae
Description: partial 16S ribosomal RNA
Rfam family: Bacterial small subunit ribosomal RNA
Source: RNAcentral
CCUACGGGUGGUGCAGUGGGGAAUAUUGGACAAUGGGGGGAACCCUGAUCCAGCCAUGCCGCGUGUGUGAAGAAGGCCCUCGGGUUGUAAAGCACUUUCAGUGAGGAAGAACGCCUGGUGGUUAAUACCCAUCAGGAAAGACAUCACUCACAGAAGAAGCACCGGCUAACUCCGUGCCAGCAGCCGCGGUAAUACGGAGGGUGCGAGCGUUAAUCGGAAUUACUGGGCGUAAAGCGCGCGUAGGUGGCUUGAUAAGCCGGUUGUGAAAGCCCCGGGCUCAACCUGGGAACGGCAUCCGGAACUGUCAAGCUAGAGUGCAGGAGAGGAAGGUAGAAUUCCCGGUGUAGCGGUGAAAUGCGUAGAGAUCGGGAGGAAUACCAGUGGCGAAGGCGGCCUUCUGGACUGACACUGACACUGAGGUGCGAAAGCGUGGGUAGCAAACAGGAUUAGAUACCCUUGUAGUC